RNAcentral lists this ribosomal RNA (262 nucleotides) under uncultured bacterium. RNAcentral's name for it is "partial 16S ribosomal RNA". It matches the Rfam family "Bacterial small subunit ribosomal RNA", at positions 515 to 776 of the family's 1533-position model. The record is from RNAcentral.
CCGCGGUAAUACGUAGGGUGCGAGCGUUGUCCGGAAUUAUUGGGCGUAAAGCGUGCGUAGGUGGUUCGUUAAGUCUGAUGUGAAAGCCCUGGGCUCAACCUGGGAAUUGCAUUGGAUACUGGCGGGCUAGAGUGCGGUAGAGGAUGGCGGAAUUCCCGGUGUAGCAGUGAAAUGCGUAGAGAUCGGGAGGAACAUCCGUGGCGAAGGCGGCCAUCUGGACCAGCACUGACACUGAGGCACGAAAGCGUGGGGAGCAAACAGG